CCCUUAGAUGUCCUGGGCCGCACGCGCGUUACACUGAAGCAUUCAACGAGCUUAUAACCUUGGCCGAGAGGCCUGGGCAAUCUUGUUAACGUGCAUCGUGAUAGGGAUAGAUUAUUGAAAUUAUUAAUCUUGAACGAGGAAUUCCUAGUAAACGCAGAUCAUCAAUCUGCAUUGAUUACGUCCCUGCCCUUUGUACACACCGCCCGUCGCACCUACCGAUUGGAUGGUCCGGUGAAGCCUCGGGAUUGUGGUUCUUGCCGCUUUAUUGUGGCGUGACCGCGAGAACUUGUCUAAACCUUAUCAUCUAGAGGAAGGUGAAGUCGUAACA
RNAcentral lists this ribosomal RNA (328 nucleotides) under uncultured eukaryote. RNAcentral describes it as "partial 18S ribosomal RNA". It matches the Rfam family "Eukaryotic small subunit ribosomal RNA", at positions 1470 to 1796 of the family's 1831-position model. The record is from RNAcentral.